This 22-nucleotide small nuclear RNA is filed under the name Arabidopsis thaliana (thale cress). RNAcentral's name for it is "snRNA_16330". The record is from RNAcentral. Lineage: Eukaryota; Viridiplantae; Streptophyta; Magnoliopsida; Brassicales; Brassicaceae.
GUGCAAAUCGUUCGUCUGACUU